This 323-nucleotide ribosomal RNA is filed under the name Euglypha sp. (in: cercozoans). RNAcentral describes it as "SSU rRNA". The stretch from base 83 to 323 matches the Rfam family "Eukaryotic small subunit ribosomal RNA", at positions 712 to 955 of the family's 1831-position model. The record is from RNAcentral. Lineage: Eukaryota; Cercozoa; Imbricatea; Euglyphida; Euglyphidae.
GAUUUCUGACGAACCGGAUUGGCCCGUUCCCAUUCUGGGUAUGUGUGCCGGUUUGAGUUUGUCAUCCUUCCAGAGAGCUGCGUCUACCGUUUACUCGGCCGGACGUACGUUAUCUGGAUCUAUUACUUUGAAAAAAUUAGAGUGUUUAAAGCAGGCUUGCGCUAUGAAUACAUUAGCAUGGAAUAAUAAUUUAGGACUUUUGUCUUAUUUUGUUGGUUUUCGGACUUAAGUAAUGAUUGAUAGGGAUAGUUGGGGGUGCUAGUAUUCAGCGGCCAGAGGUGAAAUUCUUGGAUUCGCUGAAGACUAACUUAUGCGAAAGCAUU